GUCUAGCCCGAAUAGUCUGGAUGAUGAGGUUUGACCGGGCCGUGAUCAUCCUUUGAUCCAGCACAAAGUUCCAUAGAGAUCACUGGAAAGCCCUGGUCAUUUUAAAUGACUGCACUCUCCGUUGGUAUAUCGAGCCCCCUUAAGUCCUUGGUGUCAUAUGAUACCUUACCAUAUCACCCCUCCAAAAAGCUCUCUGUUUGAAGUCCGG
Pelobates cultripes (western spadefoot toad) is the source of this 208-nucleotide non-coding RNA. NCBI's taxonomy places the organism in Eukaryota, Metazoa, Chordata, Amphibia, Anura, Pelobatidae. The record is from the annotation of a GenBank genome assembly.